GAACGCUGGCGGCGUGCCUGACACAUGCAAGUCGACGGUUCUUGUAUCUUCAAGCUUGCUUGCAGGUGCAAGGAUAGUGGCGGACGGGUGAGUAACGCGUGAACAUCUACCCAUUGAGGGGGACGAACCCGUCGAAAGGCGGGCUAAUACCGCGUAAGCCGCGAGGUGAGAGGCUGCCUAUUGGUGGCCGCCGAUGGAUGGGUUCGCGUCCUAUCAGCUGGUUGGUGGGGUAACGGCCUACCAAGGCGAAGACGGGUAGCCGGUCUGAGAGGAUGGCCGGCCACACUGGAACUGAGACACGGUCCAGACUCCUACGGGAGGCAGCAGUGGGGAAUAUUGGGCAAUGGGGGAGACCCUGACCCAGCGACGCCGCGUGUGCGAAGAAGGCCUUCGGGUUGUAAAGCACUUUUUGAGAGGAUGAGGAAGGACGGUACUCUCAGAAUAAGUCUCGGCUAACUACGUG
This 463-nucleotide ribosomal RNA is filed under the name uncultured bacterium. RNAcentral describes it as "bacterial SSU rRNA". It matches the Rfam family "Bacterial small subunit ribosomal RNA", at positions 31 to 507 of the family's 1533-position model. The record is from RNAcentral.